RNAcentral lists this transfer RNA (91 nucleotides) under Pseudomonas hunanensis. Its description in RNAcentral is "tRNA-Ser". Lineage: Bacteria; Pseudomonadati; Pseudomonadota; Gammaproteobacteria; Pseudomonadales; Pseudomonadaceae. RNAcentral also lists the same sequence under 1 other name. The record is from RNAcentral.
CAACCGUGUGUCGGUCAAGGACAUCAAGCGCUGGAACCGUUUGUCCGGCAACAGUCUGCGUGCUGGCCAGGUUCUGGCCCUGCGCGGUGGC